GACGAACGCUGGCGGCGUGCUUAACACAUGCAAGUCGAACGGAAAGGCCCUGCUUUUGUGGGGUGCUCGAGUGGCGAACGGGUGAGUAACACGUGAGUAACCUGCCCUUGACUUUGGGAUAACUUCAGGAAACUGGGGCUAAUACCGGAUAGGAGCUCCUGCUGCAUGGUGGGGGUUGGAAAGUUUCGGCGGUUGGGGAUGGACUCGCGGCUUAUCAGCUUGUUGGUGGGGUAGUGGCUUACCAAGGCUUUGACGGGUAGCCGGCCUGAGAGGGUGACCGGCCACAUUGGGACUGAGAGACGGCCCAGACUCCUACGGGAGGCAGCAGUGGGGAAUAUUGCACAAUGGGCGGAAGCCUGAUGCAGCAACGCCGCGUGCGGGAUGACGGCCUUCGGGUUGGAAACCGCUUUCGCCUGUGACGAAGCGUGAGUGACGGUAAUGGGUAAAGAAGCACCGGCUAACUACGUG
Molecule: ribosomal RNA, 468 nt
Filed under: uncultured bacterium
Lineage: Bacteria
Description: partial 16S ribosomal RNA
Rfam family: Bacterial small subunit ribosomal RNA
Source: RNAcentral